Molecule: ribosomal RNA, 247 nt
Filed under: uncultured Hydrogenophaga sp.
Lineage: Bacteria; Pseudomonadati; Pseudomonadota; Betaproteobacteria; Burkholderiales; Comamonadaceae
Description: partial 16S ribosomal RNA
Rfam family: Bacterial small subunit ribosomal RNA
Source: RNAcentral
GUCAGAGUUUGAUCCUGGCUCAGAUUGAACGCUGGCGGCAUGCUUUACACAUGCAAGUCGAACGGUAACAGGUUAAGCUGACGAGUGGCGAACGGGUGAGUAAUGCAUCGGAACGUGCCCGAUCGUGGGGGAUAACGCAGCGAAAGCUGCGCUAAUACCGCAUACGAUCUGAGGAUGAAAGUGGGGGACCGUAAGGCCUCGCGCGAUCGGUGCGGCCGAUGUCAGAUUAGGUAGUUGGUGGGUAAAC